UACGGGGGGGGCAAGCGUUGUUCGGAAUUACUGGGCGUAAAGGGUCUGUAGGUGGCCUACUAAGUCAGACGUGAAAUCCCUCAGCUUAACUGGGGAACUGCGUCUGAGACUGGAUGGCUCGAGUGCAGGAGAGGAAUGCGGAAUUCCAGGUGUAGCGGUGAAAUGCGUAGAUAUCUGGAGGAACACCGGUGGCGAAGGCGGCAUUCUGGACUGCAACUGACACUGAAAGACGAAAGCCAGGGGAGCAAACGGG
Molecule: ribosomal RNA, 253 nt
Filed under: uncultured bacterium
Lineage: Bacteria
Description: partial 16S ribosomal RNA
Rfam family: Bacterial small subunit ribosomal RNA
Source: RNAcentral